Molecule: non-coding RNA, 83 nt
Filed under: Vibrio mangrovi
Lineage: Bacteria; Pseudomonadati; Pseudomonadota; Gammaproteobacteria; Vibrionales; Vibrionaceae
Also listed under: 1 other name
Source: RNAcentral
AAUUAUGGUGGGCUGAUGAGGCUGACUUCGGUCAGGCCGUCUUCUUGAGUGCGGCAGUUCGAACCUCUCAGCUCACCACCAAA